GAUGAACGCUGACAGAAUGCUUAACACAUGCAAGUCUUUGGCGAAGCUGUGCUUGCACAGCCUAGCCAAGGCGGACGGGUGAGUAACGCGUAAGGAACUUGCCCUGCAGUCAGGGAUAACAGACGGAAACGACUGAUAAGACCUGGUAAAGUCAGGCGGACUCAUGUCCAGCCUGAUGAAAAGAGAUGCUGCAGGAGAGCCUUGCGUCCUAUUAGCUUGUUGGUGGGGUAACGGCCCACCAAGGCGAUGAUAGGUAGCCGGCCUGAGAGGGUGGACGGCCACAAGGGGACUGAGAUACGGCCCUUACUCCUACGGGAGGCAGCAAUGGGGAAUAUUGGACAAUGGGGGCAACCCUGAUCCAGCAAUUCUGUGUGCACGAUGAAGGUUUUCGGAUUGUAAAGUGCUUUCAGCAGGGAAGAAAAAAAUGACGGUACCUGCAGAAGAAGCGACGGCUAAAUACGUG
This 463-nucleotide ribosomal RNA is filed under the name uncultured bacterium. RNAcentral's name for it is "partial 16S ribosomal RNA". It matches the Rfam family "Bacterial small subunit ribosomal RNA", at positions 28 to 507 of the family's 1533-position model. The record is from RNAcentral.